GCCGUGGGGGGCAUGACUUACCAUGCAGUCGAACGGCAGCAUGAUCUAGCUUGCUAGAUUGAUGGCGAGUGGCGAACGGGUGAGUAAUACAUCGGAACGUGCCCUGUAGUGGGGGAUAACUAGUCGAAAGAUUAGCUAAUACCGCAUACGACCUGAGGGUGAAAGUGGGGGACCGCAAGGCCUCAUGCUAUAGGAGCGGCCGAUGUCUGAUUAGCUAGUUGGUGGGGUAAAGGCCCACCAAGGCGACGAUCAGUAGCUGGUCUGAGAGGACGAUCAGCCACACUGGGACUGAGACACGGCCCAGACUCCUACGGGAGGCAGCAGUGGGGAAUUUUGGACAAUGGGCGAAAGCCUGAUCCAGCAAUGCCGCGUGUGUGAAGAAGGCCUUCGGGUUGUAAAGCACUUUUGUCCGGAAAGAAAUGGCUCUGGUUAAUACCUGGGGUCGAUGACGGUACCGGAAGAAUAAGGACCGGCUAACUACGUGCCAGCAGCCGCGGUAAUACGUAGGGUCCAAGCGUUAAUCGGAAUUACUGGGCGUAAAGCGUGCGCAGGCGGUUGUGCAAGACCGAUGUGAAAUCCCCGAGCUUAACUUGGGAAUUGCAUUGGUGACUGCACGGCUAGAGUGUGUCAGAGGGGGGUAGAAUUCCACGUGUAGCAGUGAAAUGCGUAGAGAUGUGGAGGAAUACCGAUGGCGAAGGCAGCCCCCUGGGAUAACACUGACGCUCAUGCACGAAAGCGUGGGGAGCAAACAGGAUUAGAUACCCUGGUAGUCCACGCCCUAACGAUGUCAACUAGUUGUUGGGGAUUCAUUUCCUUAGUAACGUAGCUAACGCGUGAAGUUGACCGCCUGGGGAGUACGGUCGCAAGAUUAAAACUCAAAGGAAUUGACGGGGACCCGCACAAGCGGUGGAUGAUGUGAUUAAUUCGAUGCAACGCGAAAAACCUUACCUACCCUUGACAUGCCACUAACGAAGCAGAGAUGCAUUAGUGCUCGAAAGAGAAAGUGACACAGUGCUGCAUGCUGUCGUCAGCUCGUGUCGUGAGAUGUUGGGUUAAGUCCCGCACGAGCGCACCCUGUCUC
RNAcentral lists this ribosomal RNA (1081 nucleotides) under Ralstonia sp. Its description in RNAcentral is "bacterial SSU rRNA". It matches the Rfam family "Bacterial small subunit ribosomal RNA", at positions 32 to 1109 of the family's 1533-position model. The record is from RNAcentral. Lineage: Bacteria; Pseudomonadati; Pseudomonadota; Betaproteobacteria; Burkholderiales; Burkholderiaceae.